GGGGUUGUGGUUCAGUGAUAGAGCACUCGCCUUGCAUGUGAGAGACCCUGGGUUCGAUCCUCAGCACCACA
This 71-nucleotide transfer RNA is filed under the name Marmota monax (woodchuck). Its description in RNAcentral is "tRNA.Ala". It matches the Rfam family "tRNA". Rfam says of the family: Transfer RNA (tRNA) molecules are approximately 80 nucleotides in length. Their secondary structure includes four short double-helical elements and three loops (D, anti-codon, and T loops). Lineage: Eukaryota; Metazoa; Chordata; Mammalia; Rodentia; Sciuridae. The record is from RNAcentral.